UAUAAACCUCAAGCAGAGCAAGCUAGAGAGACAGCAGCGAGGGAGACUCCCAAUGAUUAUGGAGCAGCUGCGGCAGCCUCCUUGGGAAGAAUACACCAUGCUGCAGACUGAGAGAACCUGUAGAGUAUGCUGAAAUGUGUGCACAGGAACCCCUGGCUGCAUUGCAUCAGUCCUGAAAGCUCUCUUCUGUUCAGGAGCUCAGCAUUCAAGGCAUCACUAGGCAAACCUGGAGGGGCAGCAGUCCAUUGGAGUCAUCUCUGGGAUCACCCCUGCACUCCGAAGAGGAUCCCCGCCAACUUAAUCGGGACGGCUCUGCAGCUGCAUGCAGGGGACGGGCACAAGUUGGCAGCUGGAAUGUGCCAUCAGGGUCACCAGCAUGCCUUGGCUUGGAUCCUGUGGAUGUGCUGGCUCCACCAGUGCAGGAUGCAGGAUUGGACCCAGCUGCUGAACCAGAUCAUCAUGGUGGCCGAGGAGUGCCUGGCAGAAUUGCCCAUGAGGAGGGAAGGGACUAGGCAGACCAGGGAUUCUGGGCUAGGCUUGUGGCCCUGGAGGAGAGACACGUGGAGGCCCUAGAGUGGCAGGCUUUCCUGGUGGCCAGGGCAGUGGAGGCCAUGGGAGAGGACUGCCAGGUGCUGGACACUGUCUUAACCUUGGUAGUUGCCUUCAUGCCACCCACUCAGCCCUAGCCCUACCUGCCUCCUGGCAGCCAUCCACCACCCAGCAGCAGCCUACCCCCCACCCUGAGCUGAGGGGCAGUGGAGCUUCUACCAGCCAGGAGAUUCUGCCCUAGCUCCUUCCCCAGGUCCCCCACCACUCAGCUCACCUUCCUGGGCCCAGCCCCACCUCUUGCCCUGGCUCCACAUAGACACAGAGCAGCAGCUGCCUGCAGCAGAGCCAGGACCACAAAAGGGCCCUGCUGCCCCAAACCACUGGCUGCAGGAGGGGGACUGACUGCCUUGCUGCAGCACGUGCACCCAUGGGGGACCGGCCAGAGGCUGGGGUGCUGGCCACCUGUCUCUGGGCUCCUCCCCCUAGGCACCCCCAUGCCACAGCGCCCCACCCUGAGUGGGAACAUACAUAUUUCUGUACAUACUCUGCAUGAGGAAGAGGGUAUUUUAUUGAUGUUGGAUAGGGACAGUG
This is a long non-coding RNA of Alligator mississippiensis (American alligator), 1140 nucleotides long. RefSeq lists it as uncharacterized. The record is from RefSeq and is a predicted model, not a curated record. The transcript is spliced from 4 exons. Lineage: Eukaryota; Metazoa; Chordata; Crocodylia; Alligatoridae.